UAGAGUUUGAUCAUGGCUCAGAUUGAACGCUGGCGGCAGGCCUAACACAUGCAAGUCGAGCGGUAGCACAGGAGAGCUUGCUCUCUGGGUGACGAGCGGCGGACGGGUGAGUAAUGUCUGGGAAACUGCCUGAUGGAGGGGGAUAACUACUGGAAACGGUAGCUAAUACCGCAUAACGUCUUCGGACCAAAGUGGGGGACCUUCGGGCCUCACGCCAUCAGAUGUGCCCAGAUGGGAUUAGCUAGUAGGUGGGGUAAUGGCUCACCUAGGCGACGAUCCCUAGCUGGUCUGAGAGGAUGACCAGCCACACUGGAACUGAGACACGGUCCAGACUCCUACGGGAGGCAGCAGUGGGGAAUAUUGCACAAUGGGCGCAAGCCUGAUGCAGCCAUGCCGCGUGUGUGAAGAAGGCCUUCGGGUUGUAAAGCACUUUCAGCGAGGAGGAAGGGCAGUGUGUUAAUAGCACAUUGCAUUGACGUUACUCGCAGAAGAAGCACCGGCUAACUCCGUGCCAGCAACCGCGGUAAUACGGAGGGUGCAAGCGUUAAUCGGAAUUACUGGGCGUAAAGCGCACGCAGGCGGUUUGUUAAGUCAGAUGUGAAAUCCCCGCGCUUAACGUGGGAACUGCAUUUGAAACUGGCAAGCUAGAGUCUUGUAGAGGGGGGUAGAAUUCCAGGUGUAGCGGUGAAAUGCGUAGAGAUCUGGAGGAAUACCGGUGGCGAAGGCGGCCCCCUGGACAAAGACUGACGCUCAGGUGCGAAAGCGUGGGGAGCAAACAGGAUUAGAUACCCUGGUAGUCC
Molecule: ribosomal RNA, 800 nt
Filed under: uncultured bacterium
Lineage: Bacteria
Description: bacterial SSU rRNA
Rfam family: Bacterial small subunit ribosomal RNA
Source: RNAcentral